GCUAAUUCAAACUUGCUUCUUUUGAAUUAGCUGGAAUACACUCAUGUGUCUCACGAAGCACAUUUAGUAAUAAUUUUAAUUUAGUAGAAUGUUAAUUGAUUUUGUUGUUGAACUUAAGAAAUCCUUGACAUGGGGUCCUUGGAUAUGGUAUCAGACUACUACUGCUGGGUCAAAGACACUGGAAGUCUGUGAUUAUCUGGGAGAAUCGUUGGCUUCAUUUUUUGGCAUUACAACCGCUAAGGACCAGUUUGAGAUAGACCACUUCAAUCAGCUGGUGGCUGAGGAGGAGGCUUUAAAGAAGGAACAAGACCUGGAGAUGGAGGAUGGGUGACCAAGUCAGCUGAAGAGCAGACAGCCACUGGGGUUGCACCAAGCGUUACUGAGCCUCCUUCCACACAGAGGACACUUUGAUGAUUCUCCAUGCCUUCUGUGUCUGAAAGAUUAUUUUAUUCUACAAUUGAAAAUUUAAAGAUUUUACUAACAAUAUAUUUAAACUAUUAACUUGUAAAUAUUGUGUCUAAUUAUUUUUUUCCUUGUAAGUUAAAUAUGUAUGUAAAGGAAAGUGUUGAUUUGUAUUAAAAAAUAUUAUUUAUUGGUCGUAUGCUGUACUGAGCUUGGGCCCCUACAUAGUCUAAUUUGGUUGGCCACAACUAUCAUGCAAGAGAUUAGGUUCAGAACAAACUAUUGUUGUUGAUAUAACAUAAAUAAUAAGCAACAAGACAUGGGUGUUGAACAU
This 736-nucleotide unclassified non-coding RNA is filed under the name Homalodisca vitripennis (glassy-winged sharpshooter). RNAcentral's name for it is "protein FAM177A1-like, transcript variant X1". Lineage: Eukaryota; Metazoa; Arthropoda; Insecta; Hemiptera; Cicadellidae. The record is from RNAcentral.